RNAcentral lists this ribosomal RNA (607 nucleotides) under uncultured Ascomycota. Its description in RNAcentral is "eukaryotic LSU rRNA". The stretch from base 268 to 421 matches the Rfam family "5.8S ribosomal RNA". Lineage: Eukaryota; Fungi; Ascomycota. The record is from RNAcentral.
CAUUACCAUUCAAAAAAACUUAGACCCACGGGGGUAUGCUCUCCAAUAGGACAGUCAGUAGAUGUACGGUUCUGCUGGCUGGCAGUCGAACGGAAGGCAGUGUCCAUUUAUGGUCCUGUCUUGGCUAGUAAACUGAUCGAGCUGCCUGUCUGACCCUACCCUUGCUUUUUGCGCACCCAUUGUUUCCUCGGCAGGCUUGCCUGCCAGUAGGACCCCCUUUAAACCUUUUGUAAUUGCAAUCAGCGUCAGAAACAACGUAAUCGUUACAACUUUCAACAACGGAUCUCUUGGUUCUGGCAUCGAUGAAGAACGCAGCGAAAUGCGAUAAGUAGUGUGAAUUGCAGAAUUCAGUGAAUCAUCGAAUCUUUGAACGCACAUUGCGCCCCUUGGUAUUCCAUGGGGCAUGCCUGUUCGAGCGUCAUUUGUACCCUCCAGCCCUGCUGGGUGUUGGGCGUUUUGUUCCGCCGCGCGCGUGAACUCGCCUCAAAUGCAUUGGCAGCCAGCCGUCCCGUGUGAGAGCGCAGCACAUUUUGCGCUCUCCGCUGGGUGCGGCGGCGUCCACAAGCCUAUAACUUUACGCUUGACCUCGGAUCAGGUAGGGAUACCC